Molecule: ribosomal RNA, 320 nt
Filed under: uncultured eukaryote
Lineage: Eukaryota
Description: partial 18S ribosomal RNA
Rfam family: Eukaryotic small subunit ribosomal RNA
Source: RNAcentral
CCCCUAGAUGUUCUGGGCCGCACGCGCGCUACACUGAACAGUUCAACAAGUCUUAACCUUGGCCGAUAGGUCUGGGUAAUCUUUGAACGCUGUUCGUGAUUGGGAUAGACCUUUGCAAUUAUGGGUCUUCAACGAGGAAUUCCUAGUAAACGCAAGUCACCAGCUUGCAUUGAUUACGUCCCUGCCCUUUGUACACACCGCCCGUCGCGCCUACCGAUUGAAUGGUCCGGUGAAAUCUCGGGACGGCGGCUUGGUCGCUUGCGUCCGACUGCUGAAACUUGAUUAAACCAUAUCAUUUAGAGGAAGGUGAAGUCGUAACA